This 433-nucleotide ribosomal RNA is filed under the name uncultured bacterium. RNAcentral's name for it is "partial 16S ribosomal RNA". It matches the Rfam family "Bacterial small subunit ribosomal RNA", at positions 29 to 507 of the family's 1533-position model. The record is from RNAcentral.
AACGAACGCUGGCGGCAUGCCUAACACAUGCAAGUCGAACGAGACCUUCGGGCCUAGUGGCGCACGGGUGCGUAACGCGUGGGAACCUGCCCUUAGGUUCGGAAUAACUCCCCGAAAGGGGUGCUAAUACCGGAUAAUGUCUUCGGACCAAAGAUUUAUCGCCUUUGGAUGGGCCCGCGUUGGAUUAGCUAGUUGGUAGGGUAAAAGCCUACCAAGGCGACGAUCCAUAGCUGGUCUGGGAGGAUGAUCAGCCACACUGGGACUGAGACACGGCCCAGACUCCUGCGGGAGGCAGCAGUGGGGAAUGUUGGACAAUGGGCGAAAGCCUGAUCCAGCAAUGCCGCGUGAGUGAUGAAGGCCUUAGGGUUGUAAAGCUCUUUUACCCGGGAUGAUAAUGACAGUACCGGGAGAAUAAGCUACGGCUAACUCCGUG